This 292-nucleotide ribosomal RNA is filed under the name uncultured bacterium. RNAcentral describes it as "partial 16S ribosomal RNA". The record is from RNAcentral.
GGACUACCGGGGUAUCUAAUCCUGUUUGCUCCCCACGCUUUCGCACCUCAGCGUCAAUAUUGGCCCAGGUCGCCGCCUUCGCCACUGGUGUUCCUCCCGAUAUCUACGAAUUUCACCUCUACACCGGGAAUUCCGCGACCCUCUUCCAUAUUCAAGCCGAUCAGUUUCGUAUGCACUUCCUGGGUUGAGCCCAGGGCUUUCACAUCCGACUUAAUCGGCCGCCUACGUGCGCUUUACGCCCAAUGAUUCCGAGCAACGUUUGCACCCUCCGUAUUACCGCGGCGGCUGGCAC